CAGGUCAGGCGGGGCUACCCGCUGAGUUUAAGCAUAUCAAUAAGCGGAGGAAAAGAAACUAACAAGGAUUCCCCUAGUAACGGCGAGCGAACCGG
RNAcentral lists this ribosomal RNA (95 nucleotides) under Stryphnodendron adstringens. Its description in RNAcentral is "partial 28S ribosomal RNA". It matches the Rfam family "Eukaryotic large subunit ribosomal RNA", at positions 1 to 101 of the family's 3401-position model. Lineage: Eukaryota; Viridiplantae; Streptophyta; Magnoliopsida; Fabales; Fabaceae. The record is from RNAcentral. RNAcentral also lists the same sequence under 8 other names.